UGGGGAAUCUUGGACAAUGGGGGCAACCCUGAUCCAGCCAUGCCGCGUGAGUGAUGAAGGCCUUAGGGUCGUAAAGCUCUUUCGCCUGUGAAGAUAAUGACGGUAGCAGGUAAAGAAACCCCGGCUAACUCCGUGCCAGCAGCCGCGGUAAUACGGAGGGGGUUAGCGUUGUUCGGAAUUACUGGGCGUAAAGCGCACGUAGGCGGACCAGAAAGUUGGGGGUGAAAUCCCGGGGGCUCAACCCCGGAACUGCCUCCAAAACUAUUGGUCUAGAGUUCGAGAGAGGUGAGUGGAAUUCCAAGUGUAGAGGUGAAAUUCGUAGAUAUUUGGAGGAACACCAGUGGCGAAGGCGGCUCACUGGCUCGAUACUGACGCUGAGGUGCGAAAAGUGUGGGGAGCAAAACAGGAUUAGAUACCCUGGUAGUCCACACCGUAAAACGAUGAAUGCCAGUCGUCGGGGUAGCAUGCUAUUCGGUGACAC
RNAcentral lists this ribosomal RNA (481 nucleotides) under uncultured bacterium. RNAcentral describes it as "bacterial SSU rRNA". It matches the Rfam family "Bacterial small subunit ribosomal RNA", at positions 355 to 849 of the family's 1533-position model. The record is from RNAcentral.